CAGAGAGCACCAAACAAGAUAAACCCAAAGAGAUGCACACCAAGACACAUUAUUAAAAUAUCAAGAAUUAAAGGUUAAGAGAGAAUCCUGAAAGCUGCAAGAGAAAGGCAACAAGUGACAGACAAAGGAAAACCCAGAAGGUUAUCAGCUAUGACAGACAGGCUUAACAGCAACACUCAUACCCAGAGUGAACUUCUCCACAACCCACUCUCCUCCACAAACGUAUAACACAAAAGGGCACAGACAUUCAUCUUGGAGAACACCUGUGUCUGCUGUCCUCAAUUCUUGUUCCAACCAUGAGAUCAGACGUGAUUUCAACAGGUGAUACCCUGUCCACAGGGAAACAUACAUCAAUGGAAGAGGCUCAUGAAAGAGAUGACAAAUCUUCCCACCAAUCUCUUACCUCCCAACUUCUAACCCAAAUCUUCUCUCCAAAGUAAUCGACCCAGCUUCUUGCCUGUGAAACUUCAUGUCAAGUUUCAAACAGGGACCUGGAGGGACUAACCCCACCAGAAUGGCAUAAAGACUAUUUUAAACUGAGAACAUCUGAACAAACAGCAGCUGCAGAGAAAAGCCUUCCUACAUUCCCUGUGAUGAGUAAAGCAGGCCUUUCUGAGGAUUCAGAUGCCAUAACCCGCUCCAAGGGAUCCUCUGUAAGGCAGGAGCCUGACUUGCCAUCAAGUCAGGGGAACUGUGUAAACAAGUCCUAUCAGAACCUUCCAUCCUUUCCCACUGAAUCCUUAACACCCCCUCCCCAUCCCAUUAAGCUGGUGUAUAAAACCUUAUCUCUGGCCGUUAGGAGAGCUACCCCUUAGAGCGUGCUCCUGCAUCCAUACAUAAUAAACUUUUCUCCUAUUAAUAUGUUUAUGUAAAUUUUAUGUAAUUUUUCUCCUAUUAAUAAUAAUAAUAUUAUAUUAAUUAAUAUAAUAUUAAUUAAUAAUUAAUAUUAAUAUAGUGGCCCUCAAACGCUUGAUCCUAAGUUGCUAGAGGAAAAUAUUUCCUCCCAAUGACACUUUCUAGACUUCUCUGGAUACACCAAAGUCUUCAAAUACAUAACGAAAUUUAGAAACCUUGAUUUUGUUUGAAGGUGGAAGAAUCCAAUGUACAUAUGCACAGGCUUUCUGGGAGUCCUUUUAAACUUGUCUGAAACAAUAAACUUUGGGUAGUAAAAAAAAAAA
This is a long non-coding RNA of Equus caballus (horse), 1178 nucleotides long. RefSeq lists it as uncharacterized. The record is from RefSeq and is a predicted model, not a curated record. NCBI's taxonomy places the organism in Eukaryota, Metazoa, Chordata, Mammalia, Perissodactyla, Equidae.